ACGGGAGGGGCAAGCGUUAUUCAGAAUAAUUGGGCGUAAAGAGUUCGUAGACUGUAUUGUAAGUUAUUUGUUAAAUUUUAAAGUUUAUUUUUAAAUCAGCAUAUAAUACUGCUUUACUAGAGUUUUAGUUAGAAAAAUAGAAUUCCAUGUGAAGAAGUAAUAUUCGUAGAUAUAUGGAGGAAUAUCGUAAGUGAAAACGAUUUUUUAUUAAAAACUGACGUUGAGGAACGAAAGUAUAGGUAGCAAACAGG
Molecule: ribosomal RNA, 251 nt
Filed under: uncultured bacterium
Lineage: Bacteria
Description: partial 16S ribosomal RNA
Rfam family: Bacterial small subunit ribosomal RNA
Source: RNAcentral